Molecule: ribosomal RNA, 466 nt
Filed under: uncultured bacterium
Lineage: Bacteria
Description: partial 16S ribosomal RNA
Rfam family: Bacterial small subunit ribosomal RNA
Source: RNAcentral
GAUGAACGCUGGCGGCGUGCUUAACACAUGCAAGUCGAACGGAAAGGCCCAAGCUUGCUUGGGUACUCGAGUGGCGAACGGGUGAGUAACACGUGGGUGAUCUGCCCUGCACUUCGGGAUAAGCCUGGGAAACUGGGUCUAAUACCGGAUAGGACCACAUUUUGGAUGGUGUGGUGGAAAGUUUUUCGGUGUGGGAUGAGCUCGCGGCCUAUCAGCUUGUUGGUGGGGUAAUGGCCUACCAAGGCGUCGACGGGUAGCCGGCCUGAGAGGGUGUACGGCCACAUUGGGACUGAGAUACGGCCCAGACUCCUACGGGAGGCAGCAGUGGGGAAUAUUGCACAAUGGGCGCAAGCCUGAUGCAGCGACGCCGCGUGGGGGAGGACGGCCUUCGGGUUGUAAACGCCUUUCGCUAGGGACGAAGCGUUAUGUGACGGUACCUGGAGAAGAAGCACCGGCUAACUACGUG